CGAAAAUUAGUCAUGAUUGGUUCAAUGUUUGUUCCUGCUGGAUAUCUACUGAACGCGUUUGCACCAGACGUAGCAUUUCUGAUUCUGUCGCAAAGUGUUUUGUUUGGUAAGUUAUUUAUCAUUGCCAAGACAAUUGGAAAUUGGUGAUGAAACAUGUUUUUUUCCCAUUAGAACUCCAUUAAAUGUAUCCGUUACCUUCAAAGAUUCUGUUUGUAUAAACUCAAAAGAAAACAUUAUUAUAAAUAGUUUGUUUUUUUCAUUGUUGAAUUCUACAUGUAAUUGCUUACAUCCACUUCAUUUGAACUCUGGUGGAUAGUGGUCACAUUGUCAAUCCUACAACCACAGGCACUUGUCUCAGAAUUUUUCCCCCCUAUAUACCUUAAUAUAACACAAGGUACUUAACUAAAUUUUUUGAAAAAUGACAUUCAGUCCCGAAUUCCCGUUAUUUUUCGAUUUCUUGGUUGUCAAUCCUACUUAAACUUAUUAUGCCGUAAAUCUUAAUUGUUAUAGAAUCAUAUUCAAAACAGUGUAGCUGUGGCCAUUGAUUGACAACCUUAAAUUAUCCCAUUGAGUGGGGAAGAUUAUGUGAACGUUUGUCUGUAACAACCGCUGCUCACUAUGUACUUGUUAAAGGCACUUAAACUGUGGGUUCACAAAAGGUUCUCAACACCUAAAUAAAGAAAUUAGAAAAACUAAUCAGGAAUAACACGAACAUACAAACAUAAAGUUAUUCAGAUUAAUUUUUCGAAACUAUUUUAAUAUUAAAGGCGUUAAGAACUAACAGUUUAAAUUUUUUCUGUAAAGUUUACAGACAACGACCAAAUGGGAUAAUUCAAUCAGUACACUGUUUUGAAUAUGAUUCAACACAAGUACAUACAACUUUAAUUUUACAUAAAAAUUAAAUACAGAAAAUAAUCGAGAGAACCUCAGAUCAAAUUCAGUAUUCGUUUAUAGUAUGUUAAUUUACAUUUUUUGCUUGAGUUAAGCCUUCCAAUUGAUAUUUUAUCGUGUGUCAGUUUUCUAUGUUGUGAUGUUAUAGUAUAACGAAAAAGAAAAAGGGAGAAUGGUUGGUACCAUUAAAACGUUUAAUCCCGCUGCAAAUGUUUGCACCUGUCCUAAGUCAGGAAUCUGAUGUACAGUAGUUGUCGUUUGUUUGUGUAAUUUAUACGUGUUUCUCGUUUCUUGUUUUUUAUAUAGACCAGACCGUUGGUUUUCCCGUUUGAAUGGUUUUACACUAAUUUUAGUAAUUUUGGGGCGUUUUAUAGCUGGUUGUUCGGUGUGAGCCAAUCAUUGGCGGAUCAAAGUGGGGUGGGGGUCCGGGAGGUCUGAAACCCCCUUUUUUUGGCCGAUCAAUUCAUUUGAAUGGGGACAUGUAGUUGGAACCCCCCUCUUUUGUCCUGGGUUGGGAACCCCCCUUUUUAAAAUGGCUGGAUCCGCCCCUGCCAAGGCUCCGUGUUGAAGGCCGUACGUUGACCUAUAAUGGUUUACUUUUAUCAAUUGUUAUUUGGAUGGAGAGUUGUCUCAUUGGCACUCAUACCAUAUCUUCCUAUAUCUACUCAAUAAUCAAGACUACUAUAUAUAAUACUCAAUAGCUUUAUGACUGUUCAUAACACCGUAGUUAAAUUUCUUGUAUACGUUUCUUGAUCCAAAAUACAAGAGUGUUGGCUUGCACACAUAAUUGGUCACAACCUUUGAGAAAAUUCUCAAAAAAAAAAAAUGUUAUAGCAAAAGAAAAUGAUCUCAGUUUCCAAUAGUUAAAUAUAUACAACUGAACAUAAAUGAAUACUUAGUAAACAACAGUGAUUUCUCAAAGAAAUGCUACAUUUUCUUUUUUGAAAUAAUCAUACUAUUAUAUUUUAGGUACUGGAUGCGCACUAACUUUAGGUCCUGGAUUAGUUGUUCUGUCUUCAUAUUUCGAUAAAAGGCGUGGCUUUGCAAACAGUUUUUCAAGCAUAGGAGCAAGCAUUGGCAGUUUGGUAUUUCCUAAGAUAAUUCAGGUGCUGAUAGAUGUGUAUGGACUACAAGGUGCCUUGAUUUUUGUAUCGGGGAUUCUGUUUCACAAUUUGAUUGUCGCAAUGCUGUUGCGCCCGUUGCCACCGUUGAUUGAGACUGCCGGGUCGAUAGAGGGAAAUAUCGAAAAAGAAGAACUUCUUAAAUAUACCAACAAAGAAGCUGAGCUUAGUCAGUCGGUCCAUUCAAAAUCAGCAAAAGAGAAAAAACAUUCAAAUGGGGAUAUCAAAGACCUCGGUUUCGGACCAAAUCAAAAUAUAUCUUCGUCCAUAGAAGAGAAAAGUUCGCAAAUUUUAAACGACAAAGAAGACGAAAAAUUAAAGCAACUGGAGGAGACUUUUGGUAUAUCUUACAACGAAAAGAAUCUGAAUAUGACCAAGGAACUUUGUCGAAGCUCACUGGACUUGUAUACCAGUACGGGAAGUAUUUCAUGUUCUAUACACAACUUAAGUAAAAAUGAGAAAGUUGGUGUCUCUAGGUGCUCACAGUCAAAAGCAACAUGUUGUACAAAGACAUCAUUGACAAGUUUGAUUGAUUUCAAACUUUUGAAGAACCAUAAACUUCAACUCGUAUUAUUUGUAGCAUACUUUUGUAUUUUCAGUUGUGGCUUGACCAUUACAUACAUUCCUCCGUUUGCUCGUGAAAACAACACUUCAGACGAAGAAAUAGCUAUCAUUGUUAUGCUAUUUGGAGCAUGUGAUGUUGUGGCUAGAUUCUCAGUUGCUUGGAUUUCAGAUUCUAAGAAAAUCAAAAGAACGAAUAUUUUAGGAAUUACCUUAUUAAUAACUGGUACCGUUACUAUGUUCAACAGUUUCUUUACUAAUUUUACCAGUUUUGCAAUGUUCUGCGUUGUGAACGGGCUGUUUGGUUCAAUUUACUUUCCAUUUGUUCCUUUAUUAUUGGUAGACAGCGUCGGCGCCGAUAACUUACCUUCAGCACUUUCUUUAUUGAUACUUGUGCAUGGCAUAUCAAUAUCGAUCAUGGCACCAUUAAUGGGUAUGUAUUAAUUAUGUCCUAGUUAUUUGGAUUAUUUAUUUACUAGUAUUUUAAACUCUUUUGACUCAGUCAUGACUUUGUUAUAUUCCGUCCAAAAACCCUAACGUCCAAUCAAAUAAAAAGUAAUGAGGAAAAAAAUAAAUUAGAAAAAAAACCCUUUGAAAUUACAUUAGCUGAAACCAAACUGAACGUGUAAGCAAUGAAACACAAUUUGAUAGAACAUUUAUGUCCUACAACUUUGUUUGAAUUGCUCUACCGGUAGAGUUGAUUAUUUUAAAAAGAAAGGAUUUAAAAAAAUAUUCCCCAAAUACAAACAAGACAACAAACACAAAUCAAUGGGUUUCUGAUUUCCUUCGCACAUAUAUACUGAUGGAACUCUGAUAAAAAAAAAAAAUCCCCACCUUCUGAGUUGUACACAUGCAGUCAAGGGAAAGGUACCUCAUUGCAAUUGACACUAGUAUACAGCUGUAUUUUCAUAUUUUCACUAUGUGUCAUUGUAUUACUAGUAUACUUUAUGUUUCCAGCUUUUCCUGAUCGUUUUACAGGUCACUGUCAAACGUAUGCGGAUUAUGUGAGAGGAUAAAAAGGGGGGUGCGUCAUAAGUACUAGUAUUCUUAAAUUUUCAUAUAUUUAAUUCUUCUUUUAGGUUAUAUACGAGAUAGUACGGGAUCUUACAAUGUUACGUUUUAUGUCAUUGGUUGUGGGAUGAUUAUCGGAGCUUUAGCAUUGUUUUGUGAUUCUUGGGUCAUGAAAUUAGAGGAACAGAGAUUACAAAAGAACAGAGAAGUUAAUAGCGAAGUGGAAGAACAGAAAAACGAUAUAGGCCAUGAGGAAGUGGUGGUCGUCAAUGGAGAAUCGACAAAUUAAUUCAUCCUUGUCUACUAGAUAUAAAAUCAUUUGAAGAAUUGAC
This 3916-nucleotide long non-coding RNA is filed under the name Mytilus galloprovincialis (Mediterranean mussel). Lineage: Eukaryota; Metazoa; Mollusca; Bivalvia; Mytilida; Mytilidae. The record is from RNAcentral.